GUUCCUGUAGUUAAAGUGUUAAUAACAAUGGCUUUUCAGGCCAUUAUUCCUAGAUAAAAGCUGGGCAGGAAUU
Molecule: transfer RNA, 73 nt
Filed under: Notiomystis cincta
Lineage: Eukaryota; Metazoa; Chordata; Aves; Passeriformes; Notiomystidae
Description: tRNA-Glu
Source: RNAcentral